Molecule: ribosomal RNA, 1193 nt
Filed under: Mucochytrium quahogii
Lineage: Eukaryota; Bigyra; Thraustochytrida; Thraustochytriidae
Description: labyrinthulid quahog parasite QPX partial Eukaryotic small subunit ribosomal RNA
Rfam family: Eukaryotic small subunit ribosomal RNA
Source: RNAcentral
AUCUGGUUGAUCCUGCCAGUAGUCAUACGCUCAAGUCAAAGAUUAACCCAUGCAUGUGCAAGUAUAAACAUUUAUACUGUGAAACUGCGAACGGCUCAUUAUAUCAGCUAUAGUCUAUUUGGUAAUGUCUACUACUUGGAUACUCGUAGUAAUUCUAGGGUCAAUACAUGCAUAAAUGCCCAACUUUUCGGACGGGCAGUAUUUAUUUGAUAUAAACCAAUCGCUUCUGGCGUUUUGUGGUGAUUCAAAGUAACUAAGCGGACCGCAGUGCCUUUUGGCGGCGGUGGACCAUUCGAGUUUCUGCCCUAUCAGUUGUCGUAGGUAGUGUAUUGGACUACCUAGACCUUUACGGGUGACGGAGAAUUGGGGUUCGAUUCCGGAGAAGAAGCCUGAGAGACGGCUACUACAUCCAAGGAAGGCAGCAGGGGCGCAAAUUACCCAAUGGUGACACGCCGAGGUAGUGACAACCAAUAUCGUUGCGGAGCCCUUAUGGGUUUUGCUAUGAAAUGAGUGCAAUCUAAAAUACUCAACGAGGAUCAAUUGGAGGGCAAGUCUGGUGCCAGCAGCCGCGGUAAUUCCAGCUCCGUUAGCGUAUAUUAAAUUUGUUGCAGUUAAAAAGCUCGUAGUUGAAUUUCUGGUAGGAGUGACCUGGCCUUUGACGAAUGUCAAUGUUUGCUGUGUGUCAUCUCUGGCCAUCCUCGGCCUGCUUUUAGUAGGCCGUCAUUUACUGUAAAAAAAUUAGAGUGUUUCAAGCAUUUUGUAUGAAAAGAAUAUAUUAGUAUGGAAUAAUAAGAUAGGACUUUGGUGCUAUUUUGUUGGUUUGCACACCAAAGUAAUGAUGAAUAGGGACAGUUGGGGGUAUUCGUAUUUAAUUGUCAGAGGUGAAAUUCUUGGAUUUAUGAAAGACGAACUACUGCGAAGGCAUUUACCAAGGAUGUUUUCAUUGAUCAAGAACGAAAGUAUGGGGAUCGAAGAUGAUUAGAUACCAUCGUAGUCUAUACUUCAAACUAUGCCGACUUGCGAUUGUCUGGUGGUGUUUUUUGGCCCCAGGCAGCAGCACAUGAGAAAUCAAAGUCUUUGGGUUCCGGGGGGAGUAUGGUCGCAAGGCUGAAACUUAAAGGAAUUGACGGAAGGGCACCACCAGGAGUGGAGCCUGCGGCUUAAUUUGACUCAACACGGGGAAACUUACCAGG